GACCCCAGGUCAGGCGGGACUAUCCGGCUGAGUUUAA
Molecule: ribosomal RNA, 37 nt
Filed under: Oldenlandia herbacea
Lineage: Eukaryota; Viridiplantae; Streptophyta; Magnoliopsida; Gentianales; Rubiaceae
Description: partial 28S ribosomal RNA
Source: RNAcentral